AAGUAAAAGUCGUAACAAGGUUUCCGUAGGUGAACCUGCGGAAGGAUCAUUACCGAGAGACGAGGUCUACCGGACCUCAACUCUUCGCCCUCGCAUAUCUCUACCUCUUUGUUGCUUUGGCGGGCCCAUCGGGAGUGGAUACUUCCGUCGUCGGGUGUCGCCGGCUUCUGGCCCGCGUCCGACGAGCGUCCGUCAGAGGAUCCGCAAACACUGUUAAGCAGCGCUGUCCGAGCAAUUGAAUAAUUGGCAAAACUUUCAACAACGGAUCUCUUGGUUCUGGCAUCGAUGAAGAACGCAGCGAAAUGCGAUAAGUAAUGUGAAUUGCAGAAUUCAGUGAAUCAUCGAAUCUUUGAACGCAUAUUGCGCCCUUCGGUACUCCCGAGGGGCAUGCCUGUUCGAGCGUCAUUGCACCACUCAAGCACUGCUUGGUCAUGGAUUGAGCCCUGCGAGGCUUCUCCGAAAUUGAGCGGCUGUCCAGCGAGGCUUCAAGCGUAGCAGGAUUUUUCAUUUCGCUUACGAACGCUUCGACUGCGGCAAACCUUGAUUGAUAUAUAUUCCACGAUUGACCUCGGAUCAGGCAGGGAUACCCGCUGAACUUAAGCAUAUCAAUAAGCGGAGGAAAAGAAACCAACUGGGAUUGCCUCAGUAACGGCGAGUGAAG
RNAcentral lists this small RNA (661 nucleotides) under Dirinaria aegialita. RNAcentral describes it as "eukaryotic LSU rRNA". The stretch from base 251 to 405 matches the Rfam family "5.8S ribosomal RNA". Lineage: Eukaryota; Fungi; Ascomycota; Lecanoromycetes; Caliciales; Caliciaceae. The record is from RNAcentral.